AGCAGCCGCGGUAAUUCCAGCUCCAAUAGCGUAUAUUAAAGUUGUUGCAGUUAAGAAGCUCGUAGUUGAAUUUCGGGAUCAGUAGGUUGGUCGUGCCAACGGUAUGCACUGGCCUCACUGGUUCCUCCUUCUUGUAGAACCGUAAUGCCAUUAAGUUGGUGUUGCGGGGAAACAGGACUGUUACUUUGAAAAAAUUAGAGUGUUUAAAGCAGGCUAACGCUUGAAUACAUUAGCAUGGAAUAAUGAAAUAGGACGAUCGAUCUUAUUUUGUUGGUUUCUGAAUCACCGUAAUGAUUAAUAGGGAUAGUUGGGGGCAUUAGUAUUCAAUUGUCAGAGGUGAAAUUCUUGGAUUUAU
This 355-nucleotide ribosomal RNA is filed under the name uncultured Glomeraceae. RNAcentral describes it as "SSU rRNA". It matches the Rfam family "Eukaryotic small subunit ribosomal RNA", at positions 569 to 929 of the family's 1831-position model. The record is from RNAcentral. Lineage: Eukaryota; Fungi; Glomeromycota; Glomeromycetes; Glomerales; Glomeraceae.